AUUACCGCGGCUGCUGGGGGAUGAAGGCCUUCGGGUCGUAAACCCUUGUCAGGGGAUAACUCCGGGAAACUGGAGCUAAUACCGGAUAAGACCACGGUUUCUAUGGAUGCUGAGGUAAAAGGCGGCUGGGUAACUAGCUGUCGCGUAUAGAUGGGUCCACGUCCCACCAGGUAGUUGGCGAGGUAACGGCUCACCAAGCCUAAGACGGGUAGCUGGCCUUAGCGGGUGGUCAGCCACACGGGGACUGAGACACGGCCCCGACUCCUACGGGAGGCAGCAGUGGGGAAUAUUGGGCAAUGGGCGAAAGCCUGACCCAGCGACGCCGCGUGGGGGAUGAAGGCCUUCGGGUCGUAAACCCUUGUCAGGGGGGACGAUGGGUAUGUGAGCUAAUACCUCAUAUACUUGACGGUACCUCCAAAGGAAGCCCCGGCUAACUCCGUGCCAGCAGCCGCGGUAAU
This 458-nucleotide ribosomal RNA is filed under the name uncultured Thermoanaerobacteraceae bacterium. RNAcentral describes it as "bacterial SSU rRNA". It matches the Rfam family "Bacterial small subunit ribosomal RNA", at positions 89 to 524 of the family's 1533-position model. RNAcentral also lists the same sequence under 1 other name. The record is from RNAcentral. Lineage: Bacteria; Bacillati; Bacillota; Clostridia; Thermoanaerobacterales; Thermoanaerobacteraceae.